UAAUGGAUCAUGAGCUGUAGUGUUUGAGAGAGAGAGAGAGAGAGAGUGUGUUUGUGUAAUUGUGAAUGGUCCAUGAUGUGUGUGUGAGGGAGGGAUGGAGCGCCAGCGCUGUGUGUUGGAGGAUUGAUUCACUCUCAGCUUCACACAGGAGGAAGGCUCAUCAGAGUGUGUGUGAUAACUCAGAUCAGUCAUGGAUCAGAAGUCCACUUCUCCUCAGAGGCAGGCAGUGAAGAGCAGGUCAAAGUCUACAGAUGAAGUCCAGCAGGCUAAAAAGGCCUUCCACAUUACCCAGAAGUCUCUGCCUGGAGGAUCAGAGCUGGAGAAGGUGAAGGAGGGAGCAGAAGACACCGUGACUCCUGCAUCCUCCACAGAAGAGCUGAAGUGAUGCUGAUGUUCAUCUGUGCUUCUCUCUCUCUCUCACACACACACACACACACAUUAGUUUUUAAAAGCAAGGUUGGUUUUCUCAUGGUUUACAUGUUUUAAAACCUUCAUAACCGCGUUCGUGUUUUACUGUCAUGCUGUUAAAAAAUAAAAUGCUAAAAUAAACACAUGCCAAAGUUGGCCAUCUAUAAUCCCUAAUAAUAGCUCCUGUACAGCAGUCUCGCAACACACCGUCACUCAAUGACACUCCAACACCCUGUCAGAAAAGUCUAGUGACUGUGAUGGAGUUUUUACAGUGUCUGCUAUAUCGUUAAUGCACAUUGAUGAAUAUGGCCACUGCAAAGGCACAGUUCAGAUCGUUAUGAGAAUAUAAUAUAUGCCUUCAGUGAUUUCCUGAAGAUAAACACCAAAAUAACGCUGCUGGAAUCACUACGCCAGCCGUGAUGAAUGGUCUGAUCUCAUAUGAAUUAAGAGAUGGCGAUGACGUGUGCAGGGGCUGUAGUGCUGUUCUAUUUUUUAGGGGUAAAUCUUGAAGCCAUUCACACUCGGUUUCAAGGGUAAGGGGUAGGGCUACAUAAAACGAAUUGGGAUUGGGCCUUAUUUUUCUGUUAUUUGUCAUUUCAAUUUUAA
Molecule: non-coding RNA, 1014 nt
Organism: Danio rerio (zebrafish)
Lineage: Eukaryota; Metazoa; Chordata; Actinopteri; Cypriniformes; Danionidae
Source: RefSeq, a predicted model, not a curated record